Molecule: ribosomal RNA, 801 nt
Filed under: uncultured bacterium
Lineage: Bacteria
Description: bacterial SSU rRNA
Rfam family: Bacterial small subunit ribosomal RNA
Source: RNAcentral
UAAUUGUCAGCUAAGUGGCGCACGGGUGAGUAAUGUAUAGAUAACCUGCCCUUAAGAAAGGAAUAACAGUUGGAAACGACUGCUAAUGCCCUAUAUGCCUUUAAUACAUAAGUAUGCAAGGGAAACGCUUUAGUGCUUAAGGAUGGGUCUGUAUGGUAUCAGCUUGUUGGUGAGGUAAUGGCUCACCAAGGCUAUGACGCCUAACUGGUUUGAGAGGAUGAUCAGUCACACUGGAACUGAGACACGGUCCAGACUCCUACGGGAGGCAGCAAUGGGGAAUAUUGCACAAUGGACGAAAGUCUGAUGCACCAACGCCGCGUGGAGGAUGACACAUUUCGGUGCGUAAACUCCUUUUAUAUAGGAAGAUAAUGACGGUACUAUAUGAAUAAGCACCGGCUAACUCCGUGCCAGCAGCCGCGGUAAUACGGAGGGUGCAAGCGUUACUCGGAAUCACUGGGCGUAAAGAGCGUGUAGGCGGGUAUAUAAGUCAGAAGUGAAAUCCAAUAGCUCAACUAUUGAACUGCUUUUGAAACUGUAUACCUAGAAUGUGGGAGAGGUAGAUGGAAUUUCUGGUGUAGGGGUAAAAUCCGUGGAGAUCAGAAGGAAUACCGAUUGCGAAGGCGAUCUACUGGAACAUUAUUGACGCUGAGACGCGAAAGCGUGGGGAGCAAACAGGAUUAGAUACCCUGGUAGUCCACGCCCUAAACGAUGUACACUAGUUGUUGUGAGGCUCGACCUUGCAGUAAUGCAGUUAACACAUUAAGUGUACCGCCUGGGGAGUACGGUCGCAAGAUUAAAACU